RNAcentral lists this non-coding RNA (28 nucleotides) under Bombyx mori (domestic silkworm). The record is from RNAcentral. Lineage: Eukaryota; Metazoa; Arthropoda; Insecta; Lepidoptera; Bombycidae.
UGAAAGCCCACUGCUGCGCAUUCUGCUU